Long non-coding RNA from Cebus imitator (Panamanian white-faced capuchin), 2392 nucleotides. RefSeq lists it as uncharacterized. NCBI's taxonomy places the organism in Eukaryota, Metazoa, Chordata, Mammalia, Primates, Cebidae. The transcript has 2 exons. The record is from RefSeq and is a predicted model, not a curated record.
CAAAGCAAAUCCACUGACGCAGCGGUCCCCGCAGGCUUCUGCAAAACACACCAGGAGAGGACUCUGCCCGCUGUCUCCCUCGCAAUCUGCUCCAGAUAUUUUGGUCAGGAAUGUCAGAAUGUCUAGUGACCCCGAGUGAGGCGCUGCCUUUUAUUCCUGAGCACCUUUGGAAGCAGGAAGCAGGGAGCAACGGUAGCGAGAGGUAUUUGGAUUUGAGUACAGCAGGAAGAAGAAAUAGAGGAAGAAAUCCUCCAUAAGGAAGGCGUGAGGAGCGCAGGAAGCGCUGUUUCCCUGCCUGAGGUCUUUAUUCUACCUAGUCUUUAUUCUACGUAGCAGAUACGCUUUAAGAUUAUGGAAGAGAAGGCUAGGGGUUUAAAGGUUGGGAAUCUCUCGGAAGAGCUGGGUCUUGGUGACAGGAAAAACAGGUGAUCCCCAUUGACCAAGACCAUACCUCUAAGAUAGAGCUCUGCAGCACAAUCUACACAACUUUACAGGGCAUGCAGAAUAUAUUUCCUGUCCAAUAAUGACAGAAAUACUUGAUUUUGAAAAGUAACAGUUACAGCAUGGAAUAGAAGACUAAUGAAGUUUGAGGGCCCACUUCAGAGUCCUGGUUGAAAUGGAGGUUGAGAAGUAUAACGCAGUCAGUGCAGGUGACUUUCAGCUGGGUAUCUAGUCCUAUUAGAGGUAAGAACUGUGGUUACCCUAACCAAAACAAUAGGAUUAAAAGACCUUAAAUGAAAGGUGAAAAUUAUUAUAAGAGAAAUGAUCAUACUGGCAAACAAUUCACCUCCAAGAAUUAUGAUGUAAUUCUUUGUCAGCUACUCACAGAUGGAAUUCUAAACCGGUAGCAGACCCUGAAGGACAAUGUCACCAUCAGAACCACCAACAAGGACAAACUGUCCCUCUCCUGUAUCAUCCUACAUACCAUCUGUAUCCACAAAAAUGCUCGUUUUUCAACAAGCCUCCUAUUUCUUUUGGGUGACUGGGCAUACUGCCCAGCACCUCCAUCACAUACUUUAGCACUUUCCACCCUGACUCAGGGUCCCACAUGCCUCCUGUUUCUUAUUGACCAGUGAUCUGUCACUAUGGGCACUGUCAUUCUACAUCAGUGAGUGCAGAAUGCUAUGGUGUUCAUGCAGACUCUCUGAGCUGACUCUGCAGGCAGUGAUCAGGCUUCAACUGGCUCAGUGUCAUCCUGAACCUGCAUGUGAUGGCGGAUGACCAUUGAGAAAAUGCAAGGACACUAUGCCGGGAGCUACAGCCAAAUGGGGCCCUCUUUGAUGCUGCACCAUUCACAAUGCAACCCAGCUAUCCCGUCACCAAAGUGGACACCAGCUGGGGCACAAAGGCCAGCUAAUGUGGCUCUUCAAACUAGAGAUGUGCAUGAGCUAGAUGUGUGCUGUGUCACUGUGGUUGACAGAAAUGCAACCUGCCAAGGUUUGUUGGUCACCAUGGUCAAUGAUCAGUCAUCACGCUGCACCUGGUUGCUGCUCACAGUUUGCAGGAAUUGCUGCCAGAAUUCAGCAAUCGCCCAGCACCCAACAGCAGGCAGCAGACAGCACCCAACAGCUGUAGUUUAACCUAGUGAUGGCCUUUGCCUUAUCUUCAUGCUGUUUCUCCUAAGUGUGACUAUGGCCAUCUCCCUGAACCUGCAACGCCUCCUCUAGCCCCAUUGCCUGGGGCUGCUUUCACCCUGCUCUCUGAUCCAAGCCUGAGUAUGGAGCUAUCUCCAACUUAAAGGAAGGAGAUUUGCCCUGUUCCUACAAUGUAUGUAUGGCUUUAGAUAUUUUUAAAAUCUUGAUUUCUUUAAACUCAAGAAACAGCUUUCAACCAGAUAUUCUCUGCAGUGCCAGCAAUGAAACUUUGUUUUAUUUUGUUUUUGUUUUUGUAGAAACAGGGUUUCGCUAUGUUGACCAAGCUGGUCUCAAACUCCUGGCCUCAAAUGAUCUGCCCACCUUGGCCUCCCAAAGUGCUGAGAUUGCCGGCAUGAGCCACCGUGCCUGCCCAGUAAUGAAGCUUUAAAUGUUACCUUUGAUUCAAAUGUAUUUGUGUGAUAUUUUAACAUUUUUAUUUUAUACUUAUCAUACUUUUAUAAAUCACUCCUGCAUGUUUUUGGUUGUUGAGAGUGGGGAGCUCUAUAGGUUUACUUGCUAGUUUUUAUGUAUACUUUAAUUUGCCUCAUUAGUUUACAAUUUCUUUGGGGAAAAGUUUUUGCCUAUUAAUGUGUUCUGAAAAGUUAUGUUUUCUGUUAAAGAGUUUUUUCCUUGCAAUAUUGAAGGUGAUUUAUUGCAUCUUUAAAUUUCUACUCUUUGGCUCCAUAUACUUGUCUUUGAGAAACUGAUAAACUGUAGAUUUGUUUAUAUAAGAACUAAAAUUCUCUUUCCAAAAACUA